GAUGAACGCUGGCGGCGUGCCUAAUACAUGCAAGUCGAGCGAACGGACGAGAAGCUUGCUUCUCUGAUGUUAGCGGCGGACGGGUGAGUAACACGUGGAUAACCUACCUAUAAGACUGGGAUAACUUCGGGAAACCGGAGCUAAUACCGGAUAAUAUUUUGAACCGCAUGGUUCAACAGUGAAAGACGGUCUUGCUGUCACUUAUAGAUGGAUCCGCGCUGCAUUAGCUAGUUGGUAAGGUAACGGCUUACCAAGGCAACGAUGCCUAGCCGACCUGAGAGGGUGAUCGGCCACACUGGAACUGAGACGCGGUCCAGACUCCUACGGGAGGCAGCAGUAGGGAAUCUUCCGCAAUGGGCGAAAGCCUGACGGAGCAACGCCGCGUGAGUGAUAAAGGUCUUCGGAUCGUAAAACUCUGUUAUUAGGGAAGAACAUAUGUGUAAGUAACUGUACACAUCUUGACGGUACCUAAUCAGAAAGCCACGGCUAACUACGUG
Molecule: ribosomal RNA, 497 nt
Filed under: uncultured bacterium
Lineage: Bacteria
Description: partial 16S ribosomal RNA
Rfam family: Bacterial small subunit ribosomal RNA
Source: RNAcentral